AACGAACGUUGGCGGCGUGGUUGAGGCAUGCAAGUCGCGGGAGAAUGACGGGGCAACUCGUCUAGUAAACCGGCGAAAGGGUGAGUAAUGGGUAGAUGACGUACCUUGGAGAUGGGGAUAACGGUUCGAAAGGACCGCUAAUACCCGGUAAGACCACGGAUGUGCGCAUCUGGGGUCAAAGGCGGGGGACUCUUUGGAGCCUCGCGCUCUGAGAUCGGUCUACUCCCUACCAGCUAGUUGGCGGGGUAAUGGCCCACCAAGGCGACGACGGGUACCCGGGCUAAGAGGCUGACCGGGCACAUCGGCACUGAGACACUGGCCGGACACCUACGGGUGGCUGCAGUUCGGAAUAUUGGGCAAUGGGCGCAAGCCUGACCCAGCGACGCCGCGUGGAGGACGAAGGCCCUCUGGGUUGUAAACUUCUGUCACGGGCGAACAAAUCGGUUCAAGUUAACACCUUGAGCCGUUGA
This 470-nucleotide ribosomal RNA is filed under the name uncultured bacterium. RNAcentral's name for it is "bacterial SSU rRNA". It matches the Rfam family "Bacterial small subunit ribosomal RNA", at positions 28 to 472 of the family's 1533-position model. The record is from RNAcentral.